UACGUAGGUGGCAAGCGUUAUCCGGAAUUAUUGGGCGUAAAGCGCGCGUAGGCGGUUUCUUAAGUCUGAUGUGAAAGCCCACGGCUCAACCGUGGAGGGUCAUUGGAAACUGGGGAACUUGAGUGCAGAAGAGAAAAGCGGAAUUCCACGUGUAGCGGUGAAAUGCGUAGAGAUGUGGAGGAACACCAGUGGCGAAGGCGGCUUUUUGGUCUGUAACUGACGCUGAGGCGCGAAAGCGUGGGGAGCAAACAGG
Molecule: ribosomal RNA, 253 nt
Filed under: uncultured bacterium
Lineage: Bacteria
Description: partial 16S ribosomal RNA
Rfam family: Bacterial small subunit ribosomal RNA
Source: RNAcentral